This 1224-nucleotide long non-coding RNA is filed under the name Parus major (Great Tit). Its description in RNAcentral is "lncRNA (ENSPMJG00000018134.1)". Lineage: Eukaryota; Metazoa; Chordata; Aves; Passeriformes; Paridae. The record is from RNAcentral.
AUGAAGAUGAAGAACAGUGGUUUGAUAUUUUGGCUCUCUUUCCCAUUGCAAGCUUGGAAUGGAAACAAGUUCUGCUAUUCCCUUGGCUCCAUUUCCCCAGAGGUUCCUCCUUGUGCAAAAGAGCCUGUGCUUGGAAGGGCUCCCGACUUUCUGCACUGUUCACUGCUGCUGCUUCCCAGCUCCCUGUGUCCAAUACAAGUGCAGAGCAAGCCCUUGAGUGCUUUUCAUGCAUCGCUAGCCAAGAUACACAGUGGCGGAGCACAUUUUGGAAGGCAAAAAGUGUGCUUGUCAUUGAUACAUGACCUACUUUGAAAAACGCCCCUUGGCACCACAUACUUCUUUUGUGUGUGGUCAGCAUUGAUCCCCACUCAUUAAGUUCUUAUUCUCUUUCAUAAACCAACAUAAAGUCCUGUUUCCACUUGGAAUACUUUGUGUCUUUCAAAGUGUUUUUGGAGCUGUUUUCUGCAGAAGUUUGAUAUUUUGGUGUGGUGUAUCUAGGGGCAGUCGUUCACCAGUGCAGCAUGUGCACUGAAGCACAUUGAUGUGGCCUCACCACAGCGUGACUCCUGCAUGAAGUUCUUUAAAUAUUUAAGUCCAGUGAUUCUACUCAGUUUUUAAAGGAAUAUGCAGUGAAGCUUGGCCACUUCCUCUAUUGUGAUGUUGCGCUCUAGGGUGACUCAAGACUAGGUUCAUAAUGCCUGAUUCCUGGAUAUCAGAAGAGAACAAGCUCAAAAUCUCGCUCCUCAACAGGGGGGAAACAAAAAUUAACUUGUAAGUAUUUCCUUAUAUUAUUUCUGGGCUAAAUUUAUUUACUCCCUUUUUUAUUUUUAUUUAUUUAUUUUUAAUAUUUGUGCAGUACUGGGGAGAGCUGAAAGUUUAUAUAUUCAUUGUGUAACAGUUGCCUGUACAGAUGAGAAAUGUGGGUGGAAUAAUGCAUGAGGUUUUAGCACCGAAGCUCAGGAAGAUGGUGGACAAUUAUUCCAAGCCAGUAACUUAAAUGGGUCAGAUGAUUUUAAGUCAGUGGUGUUAAUGGUCUUACCUGAAAGCACUACCAUGUAGAACAUAAUACAGCAGAGGCUGCUCAACCACAUGCUUUGAUCUGAUUUUAUUGCACUACAGCUUACCUUGAUGCUAUUUAUGUUCAGAAAUACUCAUUUAAUGGAAAAAUUUAAAUACAUACAUUUCAGUUACUUUUCAGUUAACUUUUCAAUACUUAGAGAAUUA